Molecule: ribosomal RNA, 253 nt
Filed under: uncultured bacterium
Lineage: Bacteria
Description: partial 16S ribosomal RNA
Rfam family: Bacterial small subunit ribosomal RNA
Source: RNAcentral
UACAGAGGUGGCAAGCGUUGUUCGGAAUUACUGGGCGUAGAGGGCGCGUAGGCGGCCUUCUAAGUCAGACGUGAAAUCCCCCGGCUUAACCUGGGAACUGCGUCUGAUACUGGAGGGCUUGAGUGCGGGAGAGGGAUGUGGAAUUCCAGGUGUAGCGGUGAAAUGCGUAGAUAUCUGGAGGAACACCGGUGGCGAAGGCGGCAUCCUGGACCGACACUGACGCUGAGGCGCGAAAGCUAGGGUAGCAAACGGG